RNAcentral lists this long non-coding RNA (438 nucleotides) under Prunus persica (peach). RNAcentral describes it as "long non-coding RNA (PPER_LNC007842)". Lineage: Eukaryota; Viridiplantae; Streptophyta; Magnoliopsida; Rosales; Rosaceae. The record is from RNAcentral.
CCUUUUUUACUUAAAGGACCAUAAAUAGAUAAAAGAAAUUACUAAAAGCCCAUAAAUACAAAAAGCCCAAACAUGUGAGUCGCACUAAAGUUAAAAAGAUUAGUAACCAUUACACAUUGACCCACGUGAGGGUCCGAAGGAGAUUCUCACCAUUAAUGACGACUUGACUUCCUUUUCGCCCAACAACGAAACAAGCUGUACAAAAGCCACCAGAACUAGAAAGAGGCGAAUUGCCAACCAGACUUUCGGGUACAAAGGACUCAAGACGGGGGACUAUCACAAGAAACCAGCGGUUUUUUGUCAGAAACAUCCUAUCAUCUCGCCUAUGAACCAGUCCAGAUCAGCAAAUCAGUAGCUGACUUUGGAUAGCAUCCAAAUAACCUCUUUCAGACUUCAUCAUUACAGCUUUCUCCUUUCCUAUAAAUAAAGAGCCUCCAC